AAACUCAGUUGCAUCGUGUACAGCGAAGGUGCGGCCUUUGGUCAGGAUUCAGGUAGUGUAAAGUGUAGUAGAGUAGUCGCAAAAGUGAAUGUCGCGGUUUAGCUGAUAGUUUUGUAUAAAGAGAGCCAAAUGUGGGUAAUGGUUAUUGGAAAAAGCCACUUUUGUCAGCUCAGUGUUGUAGAAUUGUUAUUUUCUAACUUUUUUAUGGACAAGUUUUUGUUUUAUACAUGUUUUAUUCACUUAUAUUUGGGUUACUGGCUGUUCGGCGCCGUUUUUGUGACCUAGUGAAGUAGUGAUGCAGAAGAUAGAGCGAGGGAAAUGAAUUACCGCAAUACAAAGCGUCUGUUGAUUCGAUAGGAUUCGUAAUGAUGCUAGACAUCAACGAAAAUCCGAAGCAUAAAGUGCCAUUCACACUGCUGGUCCUGUGAGCGGCAUAAUGUGGGAUCGAGGAAGGUUUUUGCGGCAGGCGGAGCUGUGAAAGAUGCGCAACGUCAUUCGCUCUAUGGCGUUCAAGAGUUAACGUUCUCUGGGACUCUCCACUCGGAAAGCAGCAACAGACAAAGCACCUAGUCGAUAUCGACCGCGCAGUCUCGCUUCUAAAAAAAUAUCUCGACGUCAUUUUCGCUGCUCAUUUCGCUGACCGUUCUGGGAUAAUAAGAAUUGGGUGAACCAAAUGGGUUACUUAGUUGAAGCGCAGCAGCGGACGAAGAACUUGGAUCGACUAUGACUUUUGCUCGUGCGCAUUAUACAGGUUCGUCUGCAUCCGAGGUAAAACGAAGAUGGAAUUUGGAACCGUUCUCGAGUGAAAAGCGGUUAACCCGAGGCCAGAAUGGAGUUGAAUACACUAAUUAUAAUUAUUAUAUCAUAUAUAUUAUAAAUUAUAUUUCUAUUCAUAACAUUUAUUCCCAAAAUAUUUCUAUUCAUAACAUUUAUUCCUAAAAUUGCCAAGCAUUCUGUCCAACUUGUAUUAUGAAAUUCGAGUGAUUGAUGCCGGUACCCGUAAAACCAGAAGUUAUACCCCUUGCAUACUAACUGCACUAGAAUAUUUACUACACUGAAAAUUCGGUGCGCCCCAGGAUAAUGUCCUUUUAUUCUCGGAUUUGCCUAAUUCGAAUUCUGUCUAAACUGGUAUUGGCUAAAGUAGACUAGGUCCCCAUUCAUACGGAUGUGGUGUGCGAUAGUUUGAUCCGUAUGUCGCUAUAACUCUUUCAACGAGAUGGUGAACGUAUAAAAAUGCCUUUUCAUU
Styela clava is the source of this 1246-nucleotide non-coding RNA. Lineage: Eukaryota; Metazoa; Chordata; Ascidiacea; Stolidobranchia; Styelidae. The record is from RefSeq and is a predicted model, not a curated record.